GUUUCUUUCUUUUCCUUUUUUCUUCCUAAUUAAAUGUCAUCAUUUGAUUUGUAUGUUUGAUUAAAUUUAUUUCUUAAAUAUUUGGCACUUGAUUUUUCAUAUUUUGGAUUACACCUGCACAAGAAAAUCUGCUGUUAUUUUAUAUAUAUAUAUAUAUGAUAGCAUCCAAAGAUUUACAGUCGAAUAUUGAUCAAAAGAACAUAUAAUGGUGAAAGCGGAUUCAUAUAGCCAACCUAACUCAGUUUGGGAUGAAGGCUUAGUUGUUGUUGUUUUGUUGCUAUUUUUUUUUUAAAUUUAUUCAAGGUUGGUUAAAUCUACAAAUCCAAAAUUAUUUGUAUUGUGUGAUUUGGAUUACACUUGUACCAUUGUUUUGGGGAUUAUGGGAUUGAAAACGACAUUUCUGAAUUAUCAAUGGUUUGUGACUUAGUGUACAUGGCCAAAAUGUAGAAAACAUGUUCUAUAAAACACAGUUCAUUUGAAUUGUGUGUUUUUGUCAUCUUAGUAGAAUUACAUUUAUUCUUUAAGUUCAAGGUCCUUUAAUUGUCUACUAUUGUGUUUGGUCUCAUCUGAAUUCCUGAAUCAUUGUUUAAAACUCGAUUCAAAAUUAAUAGGCUAAUAAAUUUUCAGUUGCUAGAUUUGUAGGUUUGCUGCAUCGUAUCUAAUUUUGUUUAAAAUGUGUUGAAGCUUUGGUAGAAUUACAAUUAUGACUUGUAUAGAACGCCAAAGAGAAUUUACUGUAAUUUUGUUUGUGUAUGGAUUGAUUAUAU
This 767-nucleotide unclassified non-coding RNA is filed under the name Hevea brasiliensis (rubber tree). The record is from RNAcentral. Lineage: Eukaryota; Viridiplantae; Streptophyta; Magnoliopsida; Malpighiales; Euphorbiaceae.